This 510-nucleotide ribosomal RNA is filed under the name uncultured bacterium. RNAcentral describes it as "partial 16S ribosomal RNA". It matches the Rfam family "Bacterial small subunit ribosomal RNA", at positions 28 to 507 of the family's 1533-position model. The record is from RNAcentral.
GACGAACGCUGGCGGCGUGCUUAACACAUGCAAGUCGAACGAAGAGCGACGGAAGCUUGCUUCUAUCAAUCUUAGUGGCGAACGGGUGAGUAACGCGUAAUCAACCUGCCCUUCAGAGGGGGACAACAGUUGGAAACGACUGCUAAUACCGCAUACGAUCUAAUCUCGGCAUCGAGGAUGGAUGAAAGGUGGCCUCUACAUGUAAGCUAUCACUGAAGGAGGGGAUUGCGUCUGAUUAGCUAGUUGGAGGGGUAACGGCCCACCAAGGCGAUGAUCAGUAGCCGGUCUGAGAGGAUGAACGGCCACAUUGGGACUGAGACACGGCCCAGACUCCUACGGGAGGCAGCAGUGGGGAAUCUUCCGCAAUGGACGAAAGUCUGACGGAGCAACGCCGCGUGAGUGAUGACGGCCUUCGGGUCGUAAAGCUCUGUUAAUCGGGACGAAAGGCCUUCUUGCGAAUAGUGAGAAGGAUUGACGGUACCGGAAGAGAAAGCCACGGCUAACUACGUG